Molecule: ribosomal RNA, 253 nt
Filed under: uncultured bacterium
Lineage: Bacteria
Description: partial 16S ribosomal RNA
Rfam family: Bacterial small subunit ribosomal RNA
Source: RNAcentral
UACGGAGGAUGCAAGCGUUAUCCGGAAUUAUUGGGCGUAAAGCGUCCGCAGGUGGCACUUCAAGUCUGUCGUCAAAGACCGGGGCUUAACCCUGGAAAGGCGAUGGAAACUGAAAGGCUAGAGAGAGGUAGGGGUAGAGGGAAUUCCCAGUGUAGCGGUGAAAUGCGUAGAGAUUGGGAAGAACAUCGGUGGCGAAAGCGCUCUACUGGGCCAUAACUGACACUCAGGGACGAAAGCUAGGGGAGCGAAUGGG